GCAGGGGUGGUUCAGCGGGAGAAUUCUCACCUUCCGCACAGGAGACCUGGGUUCAACUCCCAGCCAAUGCA
Molecule: transfer RNA, 71 nt
Filed under: Loxodonta africana (African savanna elephant)
Lineage: Eukaryota; Metazoa; Chordata; Mammalia; Proboscidea; Elephantidae
Rfam family: tRNA
About the family: Transfer RNA (tRNA) molecules are approximately 80 nucleotides in length. Their secondary structure includes four short double-helical elements and three loops (D, anti-codon, and T loops). Further hydrogen bonds mediate the characteristic L-shaped molecular structure. tRNAs have two regions of fundamental functional importance: the anti-codon, which is responsible for specific mRNA codon recognition, and the 3' end, to which the tRNAs corresponding amino acid is attached (by aminoacyl-tRNA synthetases). tRNAs cope with the degeneracy of the genetic code in two manners: having more than one tRNA (with a specific anti-codon) for a particular amino acid; and 'wobble' base-pairing, i.e. permitting non-standard base-pairing at the 3rd anti-codon position.
Source: Rfam by way of RNAcentral